UAGAUACCCUGGUAGUCCACGCAGUAAACGAUGAAUGUUAGUCGUCGGGAUGCAAGUCAUUUCGGUGAUGCAGUUAACACAUUAAACAUUCCGCCAGGGGAGUACGGUCGCAAGAUUAAAACUCAAAGGAAUAGACGGGGACCCGCACAAGUGGUGGAGCAUGUGGUUUAAUUCGAAGAUACGCGAAGAACCUUACCUAGCCUUGACAUUGAUAGAAUCUUCCAGAGAUGGAGGAGUGCCUUUCGGGGAACUUGAAAACAGGUGCUGCACGGCUGUCGUCAGCUCGUGUCGUGAGAUGUUGGGUUAAGUCCCGCAACGAGCGCAACCCUCGUCAUUAGUUACUAACAGUUCGGCUGAGGACUCUAAUGAGACUGCCUUCGUAAGGAGGAGGAAGGUGAGGACGACGUCAAGUCAUCAUGGCCCUUACGGCUAGGGCGACACACGUGCUACAAUGGUUAGGACAAUGAGAAGCGAUACCGCGAGGUGGAGCAAAUCUAUAAACCUAAUCUCAGUUCGGAUUGUAGUCUGCAACUCGACUACAUGAAGCUGGAAUCACUAGUAAUCGUAGAUCAGCCAUGCUACGGUGAAUACGUUCCCGGGUCUUGUACUCACCGCCCGUCACACCAUGGGAGUUGAUUUCACCCGAAGCGGGGAAGCUAAACUGGCUACCCUCCACGGUGGAAUUAGCGACUGGGGUGAAGUCGUAACAAGGUA
This 714-nucleotide ribosomal RNA is filed under the name uncultured bacterium. RNAcentral describes it as "bacterial SSU rRNA". It matches the Rfam family "Bacterial small subunit ribosomal RNA", at positions 779 to 1498 of the family's 1533-position model. The record is from RNAcentral.